RNAcentral lists this ribosomal RNA (264 nucleotides) under uncultured archaeon. RNAcentral's name for it is "partial 16S ribosomal RNA". It matches the Rfam family "Archaeal small subunit ribosomal RNA", at positions 718 to 982 of the family's 1478-position model. The record is from RNAcentral.
AGUCACUGACAUUAGAUACCCGGUAGUCCCAGCCGUAAACAAUGUGCGUUAGGUGUGUCGGUAACCACGCGUUACUGAUGCGCCGAAGAGAAAUCGUGAAACGCACCACCUGGGAAGUACGGUCGCAAGGCUGAAACUUAAAGGAAUUGGCGGGGGAGCACCACAACAGGUGGAGCCUGCGGUUUAAUUGGAUUCAACGCCGGACAUCUCACCGGAUAAGACAGCUGAAUGAUUGUCAAUCUGAAGGUUUUACAUGACUAGCUG